AUACGGAGGGGGCUAGCGUUGUUCGGAAUUACUGGGCGUAAAGCGCGUGUAGGCGGAUCGUUAAGUCAGGGGUGAAAGCCCGGGGCUCAACCCCGGAACUGCCCUUGAUACUGGCGAUCUAGAGUCCGGAAGAGGUGGGCGGAAUUCCCGGUGUAGAGGUGAAAUUCGUAGAUAUCGGGAGGAACACCAGUGCCGAAGGCGGCUCACUGGUCCGGCACUGACGCUGAGACGCGAAAGCGUGGGGAGCAAACAGGAUUAGAAACCCUAGUAGUCC
This 274-nucleotide ribosomal RNA is filed under the name uncultured bacterium. RNAcentral's name for it is "partial 16S ribosomal RNA". It matches the Rfam family "Bacterial small subunit ribosomal RNA", at positions 523 to 796 of the family's 1533-position model. The record is from RNAcentral.